This 560-nucleotide ribosomal RNA is filed under the name uncultured bacterium. RNAcentral describes it as "bacterial SSU rRNA". It matches the Rfam family "Bacterial small subunit ribosomal RNA", at positions 338 to 916 of the family's 1533-position model. The record is from RNAcentral.
CCUACGGGAGGCAGCAGUGGGGAAUCUUGCGCAAUGGGCGAAAGCCUGACGCAGCCAUGCCGCGUGAAUGAUGAAGGUCUUAGGAUUGUAAAAUUCUUUCACCGAGGACGAUAAUGACGGUACUCGGAGAAGAAGCCCCGGCUAACUUCGUGCCAGCAGCCGCGGUAAUACGAAGGGGGCUAGCGUUGCUCGGAAUUACUGGGCGUAAAGGGAGCGUAGGCGGAUAGUUUAGUCAGAGGUGAAAGCCCAGGGCUCAACCUUGGAAUUGCCUUUGAUACUGGCUAUCUUGAGUACGGAAGAGGUAUGUGGAACUCCGAGUGUAGAGGUGAAAUUCGUAGAUAUUCGGAAGAACACCAGUGGCGAAGGCGACAUACUGGUCCGUUACUGACGCUGAGGCUCGAAAGCGUGGGGAGCAAACAGGAUUAGAUACCCUGGUAGUCCACGCUGUAAACGAUGAGUGCUAGUUGUCGGCAUGCAUGCAUGUCGGUGACGCAGCUAACGCAUUAAGCACUCCGCCUGGGGAGUACGGUCGCAAGNUUAAAACUUAAAGGAAUUGACGG